This 397-nucleotide ribosomal RNA is filed under the name uncultured bacterium. Its description in RNAcentral is "partial 16S ribosomal RNA". It matches the Rfam family "Bacterial small subunit ribosomal RNA", at positions 523 to 918 of the family's 1533-position model. The record is from RNAcentral.
AUACGUAGGGGGCGAGCGUUGCCCGGAAUGAUUGGGCGUAAAGGGCGCGUAGGCGGCCCGGUAAGUCUGGAGUGAAAGUCCUGUUUUUAAGAUGGGAAUUGCUUUGGAUACUGUCGGGCUUGAGUGCAGGAGAGGUAAGUGGAAUUCCCAGUGUAGCGGUGAAAUGCGUAGAGAUUGGGAGGAACACCAGUGGCGAAGGCGACUUACUGGACUGUAACUGACGCUGAGGCGCGAAAGUGUGGGGAGCAAACAGGAUUAGAUACCCUGGUAGUCCACACUGUAAACGAUGAAUGCUAGGUGUAGGGGGUAUCGACCCCUUCUGUGCCGCAGGCAACACAAUAAGCAUUCCGCCUGGGGAGUACGGCCUCAAGGUUGAAACUCAAAUGAAUGGGCGGGG